RNAcentral lists this ribosomal RNA (2633 nucleotides) under Ahnfeltia plicata. RNAcentral's name for it is "23S ribosomal RNA". The stretch from base 551 to 2631 matches the Rfam family "Bacterial large subunit ribosomal RNA". Lineage: Eukaryota; Rhodophyta; Florideophyceae; Ahnfeltiales; Ahnfeltiaceae. The record is from RNAcentral.
GACGGGGGCCCGCACAAGCGGUGGAGCAUGUGGUUUAAUUCGAUGCAACACGAAGAACCUUACCAGAAUUUGACAUGUUACAAAUUCUUAUGAAAAUAAGAAGUGCCUUAGGGAAUGUAAACACAGGUGGUGCAUGGCUGUCGUCAGCUCGUGUCGUGAGAUGUUGGGUUAAGUCCCGCAACGAGCGCAACCCUUAUUCUUAGUUGCCAUCAUUAAGUUGGGAACUUUAAGAAGACUGCCGGUGACAAACCGGAGGAAGGUGAGGAUGACGUCAAGUCAGCAUGCCCCUUAUAUUCUGGGCUACACACGUGCUACAAUGGUCAUGACAAAGAGUCGCUAAAUUGUGAAAUCAAGCUAAUCUCAUAAACAUGAUCUCAGUUCGGAUUGCAGGCUGCAACUCGCCUACAUGAAGAUGGAAUCGCUAGUAAUCGCCGGUCAGCUAUACGGCGGUGAAUUCGUUCCCGGGCCUUGUACACACCGCCCGUCACACCAUGGGAGCUGGCUAUGCCCAAAGUUGUUACUUUAACCUUAUUUGGAGGAGGGCACCUAAGGUAGAGCUAGUGACUGGGGUGAAGUCGUAACAAGGUAGCCGUACUGGAAGGUGCGGCUGGAUCACCUCCUUAUUUAGGGAAAACUAGUACCGUGAGGGAAAGGUGAAAAGAACCCCGGGAGGGGAGUGAAAAAGAACAUGAAACCAUAGGCUUACAAGCAGUAGGAGGAUGACUAAUCGUCUGACUAUGUGCAUGUUGAAGAAUGAGCCGGCGACUUGUAGGUAGUGGCAGGUUAAGAUAGAGAAUAUCGGAGCCAUAGUGAAAGCGAGCUUGAACUAGAGCAUAAGUCAUUAUUUACAGACCCGAACCCGGAUGAUCUAGCCAUGGCCAGGGUGAAGCUUAGGUAACACUAAGUGGAGGUCCGAACCGACUGAUGUUGAAAAAUCAGCGGACGAGCUGUGGCUAGGGGUGAAAUGCCAAUCGAAUCCGGAGCUAGCUGGUUCUCCCCUUUAAAGAGUGCGUAAUAGCUCACUGGUUUAGUGAUCUUGCGCCGAAAAUGAACGGGGCUAAGUAAUUUGCCGAAGCUGUGGGAUGUUUUAUCAUCGGUAGGGGAGCGUUCUGUACUAGGUUGAAGCAUUAGCGAAAGCGAAUGUGGACAGGACAGAAGUGAGAAUGUCGGCUUGAGUAGCGAAAACAUUGGUGAGAAUCCAAUGCCCCGAAAACCUAAGGUUUCCUUUGGUAAAUCAGCCGGAUGUUGGUUACCGGUUUAAGCUUUUAAGGUAAAGAAAGAUGGAGAAAACAUCUAGAGCUAAGAAGUUAAUACAAAGCACUAAGGUGCUAAAGUGAUUGAUGUCAUACUUCCAAGAAAAUCUCGAUAUAUCUUAAAUAAUAAAUACCUGUACCUUAAACUGACACAAGUAGGUAAGUAGAGUAUACUAAGGGGCGCGAGAUAACUCUCUCUAAGGAACUCGGCAAAAUAGCCCCGUAACUUCGGAAGAAGGGGUACCCUUGUAGGGUUGCAAUAACCAGGCCCAAGCGACUGUUUAGCAAAAACACAGGUCUCCGCAAAGUCGUAAGACAACGUAUGGGGGCUGACGCCUGCCCAGUGCCGGAAGGUUAAAGAAACUGGUCAGUUGUAAAAUGAAGCUAGUGACUGAAGCCCCGGUGAACGGCGGCCGUAACUAUAACGGUCCUAAGGUAGCGAAAUUCCUUGUCGGGUAAGUUCCGACCCGCACGAAAGGCGUAACGAUUUGGGCACUGUCUCAGAGAGAGACUCGGCGAAAUAGAAUUGUCUGUGAAGAUGCGGACUACCUGCACCUGGACAGAAAGACCCUAUGAAGCUUUACUGUAGUUUGGAAUUGAAUUUGGGUUUAAUUUGCGCAGUAUAGGUGGGAGGCAAAGAAAAUAUACUUGCGGGUAUAUAAGAGCCGCUAGUGAGUGGGGCGGUCGCCUCCUAAAAGGUAACGGAGGCGCGCAAAGGUUUCCUCAGGCUGGUCGGAAAUCAGUCGUAGAGUGUAAAGGCAUAAGGAAGCUUGACUGCAAGACCCACAAGUCGAGCAGAGACGAAAGUCGGCCUUAGUGAUCCGACAGUACUGAGUGGAAAGGCUGUCGCUCAACGGAUAAAAGUUACUCUAGGGAUAACAGGCUGAUCUCCCCCAAGAGUUCACAUCGACGGGGAGGUUUGGCACCUCGAUGUCGGCUCAUCGCAUCCUGGGGCGGUAGUAUGUCCCAAGGGUUGGGCUGUUCGCCCAUGAAAGCGGUACGCGAGCUGGGUUCAGAACGUCGUGAGACAGUUCGGUCCAUAUCCGGUGUAGGCGUUAGAGUAUUGAGAGGAUUUCUCCUUAGUACGAGAGGACCAGGAGAGACGCACCUCUGGUGUGCCAGUAUUGUGCCAACUACGAGAGGACCAGGAGAGACGCACCUCUGGUGUGCCAGUAUUGUGCCAACAGUAAACGCUGGGUAGCCAAGUGCGGAGUGGAUAACCGCUGAAAGCAUCUAAGUGGGAAGCCCACCUCAAGAUGAGUACUCUCACCGUUUUAACGGGUAAGAUCACGGUAAGAUUAACCGUUUGAUAGGCGCUAAGUGUAAGUGCAGCAAUGUAUUCAGCUGAAGCGUACUAAUAGAUCGAGGACUUGACCAACU